Molecule: ribosomal RNA, 459 nt
Filed under: uncultured bacterium
Lineage: Bacteria
Description: partial 16S ribosomal RNA
Rfam family: Bacterial small subunit ribosomal RNA
Source: RNAcentral
CCUAUGGGAGGCAGCAGUGAGGAAUAUUGGUCAAUGGGCGCAGGCCUGAACCAGCCAAGUCGCGUGAGGGAAGACUGCCCUAUGGGUUGUAAACCUCUUUUAUAAGGGAAGAAUAAUGACUACGUGUAGUCAGAUGCCCGUACCUUAUGAAUAAGCAUCGGCUAACUCCGUGCCAGCAGCCGCGGUAAUACGGAGGAUGCGAGCGUUAUCCGGAUUUAUUGGGUUUAAAGGGUGCGUAGGCGGUAUUUUAAGUUAGUGGUAAAACGUCGGGGCUUCACCUUGAUUGGCCAUUAAAACUGGAGUACUAGAGUACAGACGAGGUAGGCGGAAUUCGUGGUGUAGCGGUGAAAUGCUUAGAUAUCACGAAGAACCCCGAUUGCGAAGGCAGCUUACUAAACUGUGACUGACAUUGAUGCUCGAAAGUGUGGGUAUCAAACAGGAUUAGAUACCCCUGUAGUC